This 981-nucleotide ribosomal RNA is filed under the name uncultured Prevotella sp. Its description in RNAcentral is "bacterial SSU rRNA". It matches the Rfam family "Bacterial small subunit ribosomal RNA", at positions 509 to 1503 of the family's 1533-position model. Lineage: Bacteria; Pseudomonadati; Bacteroidota; Bacteroidia; Bacteroidales; Prevotellaceae. The record is from RNAcentral.
CAGCAGCCGCGGUAAUACGGAAGGUCCAGGCGUUAUCCGGAUUUAUUGGGUUUAAAGGGAGUGUAGGCGGUUUGUUAAGCGUGUUGUGAAAUUUAGGUGCUCAACAUUUAACUUGCAGCGCGAACUGUCAGACUUGAGUACACGCAACGUAUGCGGAAUUCAUGGUGUAGCGGUGAAAUGCUUAGAUAUCAUGAAGAACUCCGAUUGCGAAGGCAGCAUACGGGAGUGUAACUGACGCUUAAGCUCGAAGGUGCGGGUAUCGAACAGGAUUAGAUACCCUGGUAGUCCGCACAGUAAACGAUGGAUGCCCGCUGUUAGCGCCUGGCGUUAGCGGCUAAGCGAAAGCAUUAAGCAUCCCACCUGGGGAGUACGCCGGCAACGGUGAAACUCAAAGGAAUUGACGGGGGCCCGCACAAGCGGAGGAACAUGUGGUUUAAUUCGAUGAUACGCGAGGAACCUUACCCGGGCUUGAAUUGCAGAGGAAUUAUUUAGAGAUAAAUAUGCCCUUCGGGGUCUCUGUGAAGGUGCUGCAUGGUUGUCGUCAGCUCGUGCCGUGAGGUGUCGGCUUAAGUGCCAUAACGAGCGCAACCCCUUUUCUUAGUUGCCAUCAGGUAAUGCUGGGCACUCUGGGAACACUGCCACCGCAAGGUGUGAGGAAGGUGGGGAUGACGUCAAAUCAGCACGGCCCUUACGUCCGGGGCUACACACGUGUUACAAUGGCCGGUACAGAGGGAUGGUGUAAUGCAAAUUGCAUCAAAUCUUAAAAGCCGGUCCCAGUUCGGACUGAGGUCUGCAACCCGACCUCACGAAGCUGGAUUCGCUAGUAAUCGCGCAUCAGCCAUGGCGCGGUGAAUACGUUCCCGGGCCUUGUACACACCGCCCGUCAAGCCAUGAAAGCCGGGGGUGCCUGAAGUUCGUAACCGUAAGGAGCGACCUAGGGCAAAACUGGUAAUUGGGGCUAAGUCGUAACAAGGUAGCCGU